This is a long non-coding RNA of Psammomys obesus (fat sand rat), 278 nucleotides long. RefSeq lists it as uncharacterized. The record is from RefSeq and is a predicted model, not a curated record. The transcript has 4 exons. Lineage: Eukaryota; Metazoa; Chordata; Mammalia; Rodentia; Muridae.
AAGGAUUCUGGCAUUUUUCUGAGCUGAAUGGGAGGCCGUUGAGGAACUUAAGGACCAUGCUGCAAAUGUAGAAGUCAGAGGAUGAUUUGCAAAGGCCAGGGAGGUGGCUUCCCACACAAAGGCACCUGCUGCCGAGCCUGACAACCCGAGUUUGACCCUGGAGACUCAGGUCACAGAAGAGAGCUGACUCUUCCUGUACUUGAAACAGGCUGGAUUUAGCUAUGAGGACAAUAGUUUGCUGACCCUCAUCCGUAAGUACUUAGACGCUACAGCAGUCA